CUAUUAUUUCCUCCGUCCGGAAAUACUUUUAGAUGUAUCUAGAUGUAUUCUAGUUCUAGAUACAUUCAUAUUUAUUCAUUUCUCCGACAAGUAUUUCCGGACGGAGGGAGUAUAUU
This is a non-coding RNA of Triticum aestivum (bread wheat), 116 nucleotides long. The record is from Rfam. Lineage: Eukaryota; Viridiplantae; Streptophyta; Magnoliopsida; Poales; Poaceae.